AAGUCGUAACAAGGUUUCCGUAGGUGAACCUGCGGAAGGAUCAUUAACACGAAUCUUUUGACUCUUUAUCCAAUAUUCAAACCAACCGUGAAUUUAUCUCCUCCCUAUUUGUGCAAUAUUUAAUAUUUCAAAUAUUUCAAAUAGGCUAACAAUUAUAUGCAAUUCUAUGCUAUAAUUCCAAUGAAAACCCCAUUUUUAUCUAACUAUGAAUUUUGUCUAGUUAACUGUGAAUAAUUCACUUAACAUUCAAAUAACUCUAUACUAUACACUUAACAAUCAUAUAUCUAUAUAUAUAUAUAUAUAUUGUUGUUUUGUGUUUUUAUUGUAUCUUUAAGAAACAAUUUAUUCUAUAUUAACAACUCUUAACAAUGGAUAUCUUGGUUCUC
Molecule: unclassified non-coding RNA, 386 nt
Filed under: fungal sp.
Lineage: Eukaryota; Fungi
Description: partial internal transcribed spacer region
Rfam family: Eukaryotic small subunit ribosomal RNA (bases 1-46)
Source: RNAcentral